GUGGUGGGCAGAAAGCUCGGCUCGGCUGGCUCGGUUGGCUGCCAGUUCACCUGCAGCGGCGGUUGAUCGCGGUUCGUGCGCCUGUCUUUCCUUGACAAGUGUGCCAGUGUGUAUCUGCAGUGCAUUCGAAUGCGUGCGGCUCGAUUCAAGCGAGCAUGGUACAAUCCUGCGUAGCGUAUGGGUGCGCAAAUCGCGCGAUUCCUGCUUCCAAGAUCACAUUUCACAGGUUUCCAAAAGAUGCUGAGACACGGAACCUAUGGGAGCGAGCUGUGCGUCGUGAACGCUGGAAACCGACAGAUAAAGAUCGCCUUUGCUCUGCGCACUUUGAUCCGGCGUGUUUUGACCGGACCGGACAAACAACACGAUUGAAAGCGGGAAGUGUGCCGACUUCGUUCGCUGCUUUCCCUGCCCACCUCCAGGCACCGGUGAAAAGGAAGCGGCCAGCACCAAAACCUCGAGGAUGCAGUCCUGCUCAGCAGCAAGAGGCCCUAAAUACCGAAGACCAUGUCACUGUAUCACCAUCAAAGCAGUGGUACAAGACGAAGUUGCAGGAAACAGAAGACGAAAGAUUGCACCUGAAGAAAAAAAUUAAAACGUUGCAGCAGAACAAGCGAAGGCUGACACAAAAGAAAAUCACCGCUGAAGAAAUUAUUAGAGGCA
Molecule: long non-coding RNA, 660 nt
Organism: Rhipicephalus sanguineus (brown dog tick)
Lineage: Eukaryota; Metazoa; Arthropoda; Arachnida; Ixodida; Ixodidae
Exons: 3
Source: RefSeq, a predicted model, not a curated record